AAUAGAUGACGCCGUUGACUUUUUCUCACAUGUUUGACCAUUCGUCUUAUUCAAAAAAUUUACGUAAUUAUAAUUUAUUUUAUUAUGAGUUGUUUUAUCACUCAUAGUACUUUAAGUGUGAUUUUAUCUUAUACAUUUGCAUAAAGUUUUUAAAUAAGACGAAUGGUCAAACAUGUGAGAAAAAGUCAACGGCGUCAUCUAUU
RNAcentral lists this microRNA precursor (203 nucleotides) under Oryza barthii. RNAcentral describes it as "MIR812 microRNA precursor family". It matches the Rfam family "MIR812 microRNA precursor family". The record is from Rfam by way of RNAcentral. Lineage: Eukaryota; Viridiplantae; Streptophyta; Magnoliopsida; Poales; Poaceae.